UGGCNCCNNACGAACGCUGGCGGCGUGCUUAACACAUGCAAGUCGAACGGUGAAGGUGGGAGCUUGCUUCUGCUGGAUCAGUGGCGAACGGGUGAGUAACACGUGAGUAACCUGCCCUUGACUCUGGGAUAAGCGUUGGAAACNACGUCUAAUACCGGAUACGAGCUUCAGCCGCAUGGCUAGGAGUUGGAAAGAUUUUUCGGUCAAGGAUGGGCUCGCGGCCUAUCAGCUUGUUGGUGAGGUAAUGGCUCACCAAGGCGACAACGGGUACCCGGCCUGAAAANGGUGACCGGGCCCCCUGGGACUGAAACACGGCCCAA
RNAcentral lists this ribosomal RNA (320 nucleotides) under uncultured bacterium SB3. RNAcentral describes it as "bacterial SSU rRNA". It matches the Rfam family "Bacterial small subunit ribosomal RNA", at positions 20 to 334 of the family's 1533-position model. The record is from RNAcentral.